This 405-nucleotide ribosomal RNA is filed under the name uncultured Acidiphilium sp. Its description in RNAcentral is "bacterial SSU rRNA". It matches the Rfam family "Bacterial small subunit ribosomal RNA", at positions 354 to 776 of the family's 1533-position model. Lineage: Bacteria; Pseudomonadati; Pseudomonadota; Alphaproteobacteria; Acetobacterales; Acidocellaceae. The record is from RNAcentral.
GUGGGGAAUAUUGGACAAUGGGCGCAAGCCUGAUCCAGCAAUGCCGCGUGGAUGAAGAAGGUUUUCGGAUUGUAAAGUCCUUUCGGCGGGGACGAUGAUGACGGUACCCGCAGAAGAAGCCCCGGCUAACUUCGUGCCAGCAGCCGCGGUAAUACGAAGGGGGCUAGCGUUGCUCGGAAUGACUGGGCGUAAAGGGCGCGUAGGCGGAUUGAUCAGUCAGACGUGAAAUUCCUGGGCUCAACCUGGGGGCUGCGUUUGAGACGGUUGAUCUAGAGUUUGGAAGAGGGUCGUGGAAUUCCCAGUGUAGAGGUGAAAUUCGUAGAUAUUGGGAAGAACACCGGUGGCGAAGGCGGCGACCUGGUCCUUGACUGACGCUGAGGCGCGAAAGCGUGGGGAGCAAACAGG